GACGAACCGGACAAACGUUAUUCGGAAUUACUGGGCUUAAAGGGUUUGUAGGCGGCCUUGUAAGUCAGGUGUGAAAUCCCUCGGCUCAACCGAGGAAUAGCGCUUGAUACUGCAAGGCUUGAGGGAGGCAGGGGUAAGCGGAACUGAUGGUGGAGCGGUGAAAUGCGUUGAUAUCAGGAGGAACACCAAUGGCGAAGGCAGCUCGCUGGGACGGUACUGACGCUGAGGCGCGAAAGCGUGGGGAGCGAACAGG
Molecule: ribosomal RNA, 253 nt
Filed under: uncultured bacterium
Lineage: Bacteria
Description: partial 16S ribosomal RNA
Rfam family: Bacterial small subunit ribosomal RNA
Source: RNAcentral